RNAcentral lists this transfer RNA (77 nucleotides) under Spartinivicinus marinus. RNAcentral describes it as "tRNA-Arg". It matches the Rfam family "tRNA". Rfam says of the family: Transfer RNA (tRNA) molecules are approximately 80 nucleotides in length. Their secondary structure includes four short double-helical elements and three loops (D, anti-codon, and T loops). Lineage: Bacteria; Pseudomonadati; Pseudomonadota; Gammaproteobacteria; Oceanospirillales; Zooshikellaceae. The record is from RNAcentral.
UGGCCGGUAGCUUAAUUUGGCAGAGCACACUCCUGAUAAAGGUGGGUGAGGUGGUUCAAAUCCUUCCCGGCCAACCA